RNAcentral lists this long non-coding RNA (633 nucleotides) under Bos indicus x Bos taurus (hybrid cattle). RNAcentral describes it as "lncRNA (ENSBIXG00000021469.1)". The record is from RNAcentral. Lineage: Eukaryota; Metazoa; Chordata; Mammalia; Artiodactyla; Bovidae.
AUGCAGAGGCAGCAACCAGGAAGACGUGGCUCCUUUGAAGGUUGCCCGCUCUGCGCGAAGCAUGCUUCUGGAGGGGAAUCCCAGCUGGUGCGGUUACACAUAAAAUACACCAGAAAAGGACUCGGUGAAGGAGUCUGCCCUUUCAUGCCUCAAUUAUCCAACCUGAGAGAUGGUGAGGUGAAUCUUUACCAGCUGACCAUGACUCCAAAGUCUCCAGAGAUUCUCAAAGAAAUCCUCAGAGAAGACCGAGAUGGGGGCCAGUCUGACUCUUCCUAUGCAUCAGAAAAUCUACCUCCUCCUGAUGAUGCCUUGGGCAGGGCAGCGCCCCCAUGCUAAUGCUGGGGAUGCUGUAUAGACCAGUGAGAAGAGGAUGAGCUGUGGAGUCAGGCCUGGGUUCAAGUCCUGCUUCUGCCAUCAGCAAGCCCAGUAGCCCUGGGCAAAUAACUCAACCCCUCCACGUCCAUUUCCAGGUUUGUAAAAUGGACAAUGAUACCUGCUUCCUAGGGAACUAAACUAUGUGUGUUUUAGAGGUUGAAAUUCUCACUCUGCCACUUAUUGGCUGUUGGACCUCAGAUGAGUAACAUAGAUAUUCUGAGUCCCUUUGACUCCAUCCCUAAAGGGGGAAUCAGACAG